UACGAGGGGGGCAAGCGUUGUUCGGAAUUAUUGGGCGUAAAGGGCGCGUAGGCGGUGCGGUAAGUCACCUGUGAAAACUCUGGGCUCAACUCAGAGCCUGCAGGCGAAACUGCCGUGCUGGAGUGUGGGAGAGGUGCGUGGAAUUCCUGGUGUAGCGGUGAAAUGCGUAGAUAUCAGGAGGAACACCGGUGGUGUAGACGGCUUACUGGACCAUAACUGACGCUGAGACACGAAAGCGUGGGUGGCAAACAGG
RNAcentral lists this ribosomal RNA (253 nucleotides) under uncultured bacterium. RNAcentral's name for it is "partial 16S ribosomal RNA". It matches the Rfam family "Bacterial small subunit ribosomal RNA", at positions 524 to 776 of the family's 1533-position model. The record is from RNAcentral.